CGCCUGAGCGCGGCCGCCGCCGUCCGGGCUUGGCUGGGGGUCCCCGGGGAGGAGGGCGCAGCUGUGCCUCAGUCGGAGCGCGGCGGGGCCGAGGACGCGGGGAAGGGUUUCUGUGGAGAAAUGUGUGUUGUGCGCUCCGAGCCCGAGAAACGGUCUUGGAAAUAAAGCAGGAAUUCCUCUCCAGGCCAAACGCAGCAUGUGAAGAUUUUCACGGAGCGCUCUCUGAAGCGAAACCUUCCCAGGAAGAGUGUCCAUGGGGCACUGACGGCCCUGCAGCCAGGACACUGCCGUGCCGGACCAGGAGAUGUGCAGGAGAGGAACCGGGACUGGGGGUCGGGGUGCCUCUACCCCAUGGUGAUUCUGAG
Molecule: long non-coding RNA, 365 nt
Organism: Gallus gallus (chicken)
Lineage: Eukaryota; Metazoa; Chordata; Aves; Galliformes; Phasianidae
Source: Ensembl